This 88-nucleotide unclassified non-coding RNA is filed under the name Pseudomonas granadensis. The record is from RNAcentral. Lineage: Bacteria; Pseudomonadati; Pseudomonadota; Gammaproteobacteria; Pseudomonadales; Pseudomonadaceae.
UGUAGGAGUGAGCCUGCUCGCGAUUCGGUUUUACAUCCGGAAUUUCUGUGACUGACAGGACGCUAUCGCGAGCAGGCUCACUCCUACA